Molecule: unclassified non-coding RNA, 358 nt
Filed under: Zea mays
Lineage: Eukaryota; Viridiplantae; Streptophyta; Magnoliopsida; Poales; Poaceae
Description: misc RNA Zm00001eb314730
Source: RNAcentral
GGCGAGGUGGCGGCCGUCGCCGCCGCGGAGGAGGAGGAGCAGGGGCAGGAAGGCGAGCGGGAGCACGAGGACGAGCAGCGGGUGGUUGGAGCCGCCGCCGGGGUGGAAGUGGUGGGGCGGAGGCUUGGGGUGCGCCUGUGCCUUCUUGUCGUCGGGCUCCGGGUCCUCGACAACCACGGCCUGGAACGAGGAGCAGUUGCGCACCGUUGGCGAGCGCAGCAGCGAGGACGGCGUCCGCGUCAGCUUGCCGGCUCCCGUUCCGCCGCCGUGGACGUCCAUCCCUCGUCGACGCCGCUCUCCGGCUCCUCGAUCUCUGGCGGAUCUCCGUCUCAAAUCACUAGAGCAGACGCGCGGAGCA